UAUCGGAUACUGGGCGUAAGCGCAUGCAGGCGGUUUGUUAAGUCAGAUGUGAAAGCCCGGGGCUCAACCUCGGAACCGCAUUUGAAACUGGCAGGCUAGAGUCUUGUAGAGGGGGGUAGAAUUUCAGGUGUAGCGGUGAAAUGCGUAGAGAUCUGAAGGAAUACCAGUGGCGAAGGCGGCCCCCUGGACAAAGACUGACGCUCAGAUGCGAAAGCGUGGGUAGCAAACAGGAUUAGAUACCCUGGUAGUCCACGCCGUAAACGCUGUCUACUUGGAGGUUGAGGUUUAGACUUUGGCUUUCGGCGCUAACGCAUUAAGUAGACCGCCUGGGGAGUACGGCCGCAAGGUUAAAACUCAAAUGAAUUGACGGGGGCCCGCACAAGCGGUGGAGCAUGUGGUUUAAUUCGAUGCAACGCGAAGAACCUUACCUACUCUUGACAUCCAGAGAAUUUUCCAGAGAUGGAUUGGUGCCUUCGGGARCUCUGAGACAGGUGCUGCAUGGCUGUCGUCAGCUCGUGUUGUGAAAUGUUGGGUUAAGUCCCGCAACGAGCGCAACCCUUAUCCUUGUUUGCCAGCACGUAAUGGUGGGAACUCCAGGGAGACUGCCGGUGAUAAACCGGAGGAAGGUGGGGACGACGUCAAGUCAUCAUGGCCCUUACGAGUAGGGCUACACACGUGCUACAAUGGCAGAUACAGAGGGCAGCGAAGCUGCGAAGUGGAGCGAAUCCCUUAAAGUCUGUCGUAGUCCGGAUUGGAGUCUGCAACUCGACUCCAUGAAGUCGGAAUCGCUAGUAAUCGUGGAUCAGAAUGCCACGGUGAAUACGUUCCCGGGCCUUGUACACACCGCCCGUCACACCAUGGGAGUGGGCUGCACCAGAAGUAGAUAGCUAACCUUCGGAGGGC
Molecule: ribosomal RNA, 903 nt
Filed under: Salinivibrio kushneri
Lineage: Bacteria; Pseudomonadati; Pseudomonadota; Gammaproteobacteria; Vibrionales; Vibrionaceae
Description: bacterial SSU rRNA
Rfam family: Bacterial small subunit ribosomal RNA
Source: RNAcentral